Molecule: ribosomal RNA, 464 nt
Filed under: uncultured bacterium
Lineage: Bacteria
Description: partial 16S ribosomal RNA
Rfam family: Bacterial small subunit ribosomal RNA
Source: RNAcentral
GACGAACGCUGGCGGCGUGCUUAACACAUGCAAGUCGAACGAUGAACCGGUUUCGGCCGGGGAUUAGUGGCGAACGGGUGAGUAACACGUGGGCAAUCUGCCCUGCACUCGGAGAUAAGCCCGGGAAACUGGGUCUAAUACCGGAUACGACACUCCGAGGCAUCUUGGGGUGUGGAAAGUUCCGGCGGUGCAGGAUGAGCCCGCGGCCUAUCAGCUUGUUGGUGGGGUAAUGGCCUACCAAGGCGACGACGGGUAGCCGGCCUGAGAGGGUGACCGGCCACACUGGGACUGAGACACGGCCCAGACUCCUACGGGAGGCAGCAGUGGGGAAUAUUGCACAAUGGGCGAAAGCCUGAUGCAGCGACGCCGCGUGAGGGAUGACGGCCUUCGGGUUGUAAACCUCUUUCAGCAGGGAAGAAGCGAAAGUGACGGUACCUGCAGAAGAAGCACCGGCUAACUACGUG